Molecule: non-coding RNA, 27 nt
Filed under: Rattus norvegicus (Norway rat)
Lineage: Eukaryota; Metazoa; Chordata; Mammalia; Rodentia; Muridae
Source: RNAcentral
UAGGGUCUUCUUGAUGAGAUGCACCAC